GGAUGACAUCAUGGGAGCCGAGUGAGUGCCGGCUCCGAGAGGGGGACUGAGAAGGGGAGGGGGAGCAGAGGAGGGACGAGGGCUGGGGAGCGGAGCCAGAUCCGGGCUGCCUGCCACCGGUGCACGUCCACUAGCUGGGGAGGAGCGCUCCACCAGCUACUGACAAAGGAUGGGAGGAUGCCGGUUCCCCGGGAUGCCGGCCGCGCGCAGCCUGGUGGCCGCCUGAGCCACUUCACCCUCCGCCGAAAUAAUCUGUAUGGAUGAAAUUCAGCCCAGAUCAUGUACUUCAUU
RNAcentral lists this long non-coding RNA (291 nucleotides) under Ictidomys tridecemlineatus (thirteen-lined ground squirrel). Its description in RNAcentral is "lncRNA (ENSSTOG00000030030.1)". Lineage: Eukaryota; Metazoa; Chordata; Mammalia; Rodentia; Sciuridae. The record is from RNAcentral.